RNAcentral lists this long non-coding RNA (333 nucleotides) under Homo sapiens (human). Its description in RNAcentral is "LNC_000961". The record is from RNAcentral. Lineage: Eukaryota; Metazoa; Chordata; Mammalia; Primates; Hominidae.
GCAGCAGUAGGAAAUGAAGACACCCACCUAACACAAUAUCCAGAAGUAGGUGGCAGGAGGAAUGUGCAGCUGCUUGAGCAAGUCGUCCAGGAUCGAGCUCUUCCAGAUUCCUGUGGCACCAUCCUCCACACGUGGCAUUCUUCCUCCUGAUUAUAAGGCAACAGAAACAAUCUUUGUCCAACCAGCAAAAGAGGGAUUUGGAGAAAGAAAAUGAAGCAGCUUAUGGAACAGAAGAAUGCAGAUGUGACGGUUGAUAGACCAGCUGCUAUAUUGGACUAUGAAGACAAGGGUCACCCCUCUGGAUCGGACAGUGUGGAGUUAGAAGAAGCUCAG